RNAcentral lists this transfer RNA (87 nucleotides) under Streptomyces formicae. RNAcentral's name for it is "tRNA-Leu". It matches the Rfam family "tRNA". From Rfam's summary of the family: Transfer RNA (tRNA) molecules are approximately 80 nucleotides in length. Their secondary structure includes four short double-helical elements and three loops (D, anti-codon, and T loops). Lineage: Bacteria; Bacillati; Actinomycetota; Actinomycetes; Kitasatosporales; Streptomycetaceae. The record is from RNAcentral. RNAcentral also lists the same sequence under 8 other names.
GCGGCCGUUGCUGAAUUGGCAUAAGCGGGUGUUUUAGGGGCACCUGGGAGCAAUCCCAUGUGGGUUCGAGUCCCACCGGCCGCACCA